GAGGGUAGAGCUCAGUGGUAGAGAGCAUGCCUAUCAUGCAUGAGGUCCUGGGUUCAAUCCCCAGUACCUCCU
This 72-nucleotide transfer RNA is filed under the name Camelus bactrianus (Bactrian camel). It matches the Rfam family "tRNA". Rfam says of the family: Transfer RNA (tRNA) molecules are approximately 80 nucleotides in length. Their secondary structure includes four short double-helical elements and three loops (D, anti-codon, and T loops). RNAcentral also lists the same sequence under 2 other names. The record is from Rfam by way of RNAcentral. Lineage: Eukaryota; Metazoa; Chordata; Mammalia; Artiodactyla; Camelidae.